GCCUGAGGAUUGGCCACAGCGCAAAAAUGAUACCUGGGCAGGGCUCCAAGGCGUACCUGAAAACCCAGAUCUUUUUGUAGAGGCAGUUUCUUCGCUUCAGGAGCUUAAGGAGAUUGUGUUUCUAGUAGUGCUUGAGAUUCCACCUCUAUUGUUCUACUCUUUUCUUUCCCCACACAACUUCAGCGGCUCUACUCAAACUGGUUUGUGAACUUUCGGCCAACAUGGAAGGAGCAGUCGGUACUUCAGCAAAUGGAAGGAGCAGGAAGUGAACGUCUUUGGCUGAAGCAGCACAGCAAGUCGACACAAUGGCAUCUCUUGUUCGCAGCUACAUACUGAAUGACUACGAUGAGAAUCAACCCGUUUCACCACAAAGUGUGAUUCCUCUCAGCGAUCUUCACUGCCCUGUCUGUCUCUAUAAAAUCCUCUGAUUUGCGUCUUACCAGGCAUGUUUAGAUGUUGCUAUUGUCUCUAAUACUGCCUGGUAAUGCCGCCAAUCACAAGGAAGUUGAUCAUCAUUCUCACCUCCUUGCUACAAUGUUGGAAUGUUGGUUUUAAACUCCUGCCUUGCUCAUUCUUACUUACAGACUUAUGCCAUUUUUUUUGUUUACACGCAAAAACAAUACUCGUUUUUUGGCAUUGUUAAUGAUGAUGAUGAUAAAUGAUGUGCAUCUGAAUGUAAUGACAAAUUUUACUGUCAGUGUUUACAAUAAAAUCGUAUUUUUCUGUCCAAA
Molecule: long non-coding RNA, 731 nt
Organism: Astyanax mexicanus (Mexican tetra)
Lineage: Eukaryota; Metazoa; Chordata; Actinopteri; Characiformes; Acestrorhamphidae
Exons: 2
Source: RefSeq, a predicted model, not a curated record